AGUAAAAGUCGUAACAAGGUUUCCGUAGGUGAACCUGCGGAAGGAUCAUUAAAAAAUUGGACUCCAUUGGUGAGUUCAUUAAUAAUCCCUACCCUUUGUGAAUUUGUUUGUUUGAAUAAUUUUUUUCCAAAAAAAAUUAUUGAAUGUCUUUCCCUGUUUUGGUGGAGCUUGUAAAGUGAAACCAGGCAGGGGAAUGGCAAACAAUAAUUAUUUUUGAAAAAAGACCUUUUUUUAAAAUUAAACUUUUUGUAUCAUUUGUCUAAAAUUAUUUUUAUAAUAUAAAACAACUUUUGACAAUGGAUCUCUUGGUUCUCGCAACGAUGAAGAACGCAGCAAAAUGCGAUAAGUAGUGUGAAUUGCAGAAUACGUGAAUCAUCGAAUCUUCGAACGCAUAUUGCACUUUUUUAGUUUACUAAAAAGGUAUGUCUGUUUGAGUAUCAGUAAAAUAUUCUCAUAUAAAACAUUGUUUUUUUAUGGUUAUGAGUGUUUUACAACGAUAACAAGUUGUUUCACUUUAAAUUCUUUGUUAUCAAAAAAAUCAUUAAAAGCUAAUUUUAAAGAUUUUUUAAAAUUGGAUAAAAUUUUCCCGUAAAAAGGAAUAACCUAAACAAUUUUAAAAAAUUAAAAUUGAUUUGAUUUUUUUUGGAACCCAAAGGAAAAAAAAACGAAAUUAACUUGAUCUCAAAUCAGAUAAGAGUACCCGCUGAACUUAAGCAUAUCAAUAAGCGGUGGAAAAGAACUAACUAGGAUUCCCUCAGUAACGGCGAGUGAAGCGGGAAGAGCUCAAAUUUGAAAUCUUCAAGGUUUUACCUUGACGAAUUGUAGUUUAAAGAAGUGUUUUCUGUUGGAGUUUUGGUAAAGUUCUUUGGAAAAGGACAUCAUAGAGGGUGAGAAUCCCGUAUUUGACCAUUAUCUCCAGCUUUGUGAUACACUUUCAAAGAGUCGGAUUGUUUGGGAAUGCAGUCCAAAAUGGGUGGUAAAUUUCAUCUAAAGCUAAAUACUGGCGAGAGACCGAUAGCGAACAAGUACCGUGAGGGAAAGAUGAAAAGAACUUUGAAAAGAGAGUUAAACAGUACGUGAAAUUGUCAAAAGGGAAGCGUUUGACACCAGUGUUGUUUUCUCGAAAAUCAAUUAAAAAGAGUUGAUUUUGUUGUGUAUUGACUUUAACAGCUUUGCAUUUCAUUUUCUUGCUUUUUUAAUGCACUUUUCGUUUAACAAGUCAACAUCAAUUUCCUUUGUUGUAAAAAGGUCAUUGGAAGGUGGCUUUCUUUUCGGAGAAAGUGUUUAUAGCCUUUGACCUCUGCAAUCGGAGAGAUGAGGUCUGCAGCGUAGAUCCUUCGGGGUUGAUACAUUUGUGCUAAGUUAUAGCUUUUCAUAGACAACUUGUUGACUAUGAUUAGUCAUGUGGCUUACUCGCUUAUGCUAUUUACCUACGCUUAGGAUGUUGAA
Molecule: unclassified non-coding RNA, 1449 nt
Filed under: uncultured Neocallimastigales
Lineage: Eukaryota; Fungi; Neocallimastigomycota; Neocallimastigomycetes; Neocallimastigales
Description: partial contains small subunit ribosomal RNA, internal transcribed spacer 1, 5.8S ribosomal RNA, internal transcribed spacer 2, and large subunit ribosomal RNA
Rfam family: Eukaryotic large subunit ribosomal RNA (bases 677-1449)
Source: RNAcentral